This 644-nucleotide long non-coding RNA is filed under the name Anser brachyrhynchus (Pink-footed goose). RNAcentral's name for it is "lncRNA (ENSABRG00000010070.1)". Lineage: Eukaryota; Metazoa; Chordata; Aves; Anseriformes; Anatidae. The record is from RNAcentral.
GCACACACAGGGCUGUGCCCCCUUCUACACAUGAACUAACUGAGAAGAAACAUCACUUCCCAAUAUAACUGUUACGCUAUAAAUUAACAUUCACGUCAUGGCCAAAUCCUCAUAGCAGUUGUGCUGUACAGAGAAGCUGCUUUCCAGAGCCACGGGGGCACAGCCUGAGCAGUUUGUGGAGAAGGGGACCAAGGCCUCUCAGCCUAUGCUGGGCUCCAGGGCCAGAAAAGCACAAACUGUCUGACUCCAGGAGCUGGGAUUUUAAGAAAAGCUGCCAGCAGUUGCACAGAUACUGAGGAAAAUGGUGGCACGUAAUGACCAGGGCCACUGUGACUGAAUAUGAGAGGAGAGCCUGCAGCAAGGCACCGCAGCAAAAACAAGGCUCCCCCAAACGAGGCUCCAUCUUGAAGAUCUACGAGUGUUCUGGUGGAGAUGCUUCUGCAAAGCCCGGCCCCAUCCUGAAUCUGAGGACAUCAGACCAGUUCAUGUCAGAAGACGAUACUCCCGUGUCAUUCUUCAGUUUUCUGCUCCAUCUGAAUACAGUUCUUCCGACCAUGGCUGAUAAGAAACCAUUUGUCUUAGAAAGCCCCAAAGCUGCUGAGAUGUACGGAUUCAAAGACAGCUGCGAGUUUUGGUCCUUUCUG